This 426-nucleotide ribosomal RNA is filed under the name uncultured bacterium. RNAcentral describes it as "bacterial SSU rRNA". It matches the Rfam family "Bacterial small subunit ribosomal RNA", at positions 355 to 772 of the family's 1533-position model. The record is from RNAcentral.
UGGGGAAUUGUUCGCAAUGGGCGAAAGCCUGACGACGCAACGCCGCGUGGAGGACGAAGAUCUUCGGGCCGUCAACUCCUUUCGAUCGGGAAGAAUGGCUUCCGGGUUCAUAGCCCGGAGGAAUGACGGUACCGAGAGAAGAAGCUCCGGCUAACUCUGUGCCAGCAGCCGCGGUACUACGGGGGGGGCAAGCGUUGUUCGGAAUUACUGGGCGUAAAGGGUUCGUAGGUGGCCUGCUAAGUCACACGUGAAAUCCCUCAGCUUAACUGGGGAACUGCGUGUGAGACUGGCGGGCUUGAGUACAGGAGAGGAACGCGGAAUUCCAGGCGUAGCGGUGAAAUGCGUAGAUAUCUGGAGGAACACCGGUGGCGAAGGCGGCGUUCUGGACUGUUACUGACACUGAGGAACGAAAGCCAGGGGAGCAAA